This 71-nucleotide transfer RNA is filed under the name Paragetocera flavipes. RNAcentral's name for it is "tRNA-Val". Lineage: Eukaryota; Metazoa; Arthropoda; Insecta; Coleoptera; Chrysomelidae. The record is from RNAcentral.
CAAAUUAGAGCUUGACUAUAAAGUAUUUUAUUUACAUUAAAAAGUUAUUUGUGAAAAUCAAUUUAAUUUGA